This 491-nucleotide ribosomal RNA is filed under the name uncultured bacterium. RNAcentral describes it as "partial 16S ribosomal RNA". It matches the Rfam family "Bacterial small subunit ribosomal RNA", at positions 29 to 507 of the family's 1533-position model. The record is from RNAcentral.
AGUGAACGCUGGCGGUAGGCCUAACACAUGCAAGUCGAACGGCAGCACAGUAAGAGCUUGCUCUUACGGGUGGCGAGUGGCGGACGGGUGAGGAAUACAUCGGAAUCUACUUUUUCGUGGGGAUAACGUAGGGAAACUUACGCUAAUACCGCAUACGACCUACGGGUGAAAGCAGGGGAUCUUCUGACCUUGCGCGAUUGAAUGAGCCGAUGUCGGAUUAGCUAGUUGGCGGGGUAAAGGCCCACCAAGGCGACGAUCCGUAGCUGGUCUGAGAGGAUGAUCAGCCACACUGGAACUGAGACACGGUCCAGACUCCUACGGGAGGCAGCAGUGGGGAAUAUUGGACAAUGGGCGCAAGCCUGAUCCAGCCAUACCGCGUGGGUGAAGAAGGCCUUCGGGUUGUAAAGCCCUUUUGUUGGGAAAGAAAAGCAGCAGGUUAAUACCCCGCUGUUCUGACGGUACCCAAAGAAUAAGCACCGGCUAACUUCGUG